Molecule: ribosomal RNA, 271 nt
Filed under: uncultured archaeon
Lineage: Archaea
Description: partial 16S ribosomal RNA
Rfam family: Archaeal small subunit ribosomal RNA
Source: RNAcentral
CAGCGCCACAAGUGGCAAUCACGUUUAUUGGGCCUAAAGCGUCCGUAGCCGGUUUAGCAAAUCUUUUGUGAAAUCGUCAGGCUUAACUUGACGAAUUGCAGAAGACACUACUAAACUAGGGACUGGGAGGAGUCAGAAGUAUUCUGGGGGGACCGGUAAAAUGGUAUAAUCCCCAGAGGACUACCGAUGGCGAAGGCAUCUGACCAGAACAGAUCCGACGGUGAGGGACGAAAGCCAGGGGAGCGAACCGGAUUAGAUACCCGCGUAGUCC